GAAAUGCGAUAAGUAAUGUGAAUUGCAGAAUUCAGUGAAUCAUCGAAUCUUUGAACGCACAUUGCGCCCGCCAGUAUUCUGGCGGGCAUGCCUGUUCGAGCGUCAUUUCAACCCUCAAGACCCCUUCGGGGGACUUGGUGUUGGGGACCGGCUGUUCCCGGCCUGCUUCUUGCAGCGCCUUUAUGCCGCCCCCGAAAUGAAUUGGCGGCCUCGUCGCGGCCUCCCCUGCGUAGUAGCACAACCUCGCAACGGGAACGUGACGGCGGCCACUGCCGUAAAACAACCCCAAUUUUAUUAGAGUUGACCUCGAAUCAGGUAGGAAUACCCGCUGAACUUAA
This 338-nucleotide unclassified non-coding RNA is filed under the name uncultured Metarhizium. Its description in RNAcentral is "sequence contains ITS1". The stretch from base 1 to 105 matches the Rfam family "5.8S ribosomal RNA", at positions 50 to 154 of the family's 154-position model. Lineage: Eukaryota; Fungi; Ascomycota; Sordariomycetes; Hypocreales; Clavicipitaceae. The record is from RNAcentral.